RNAcentral lists this ribosomal RNA (502 nucleotides) under Vermamoeba vermiformis. RNAcentral's name for it is "SSU rRNA". It matches the Rfam family "Eukaryotic small subunit ribosomal RNA", at positions 1215 to 1719 of the family's 1831-position model. The record is from RNAcentral. Lineage: Eukaryota; Tubulinea; Echinamoebida; Vermamoebidae.
UUACGAGGUCAGGACACUGUGAGGAUUGACAGAUUGAAAGCUCUUUCUUGAUUCAGUGGGUGGUGGUGCAUGGCCGUUCCUAGUUGGUGGAGUGAUUUGUCUGGUUAAUUCCGUUAACGAACGAGACCUUAACCUGCUAAAUAGUCACGCGAACCGGUCCGCAAGGGCUCAAAGUUCGCGGCUCGACUUCUUAGAGGGACUAUUCGCACCCGCCAGCGAAUGGAAGUUUGAGGCAAUAACAGGUCUGUGAUGCCCUUAGAUGUUCUCGGCCGCACGCGCGUUACACUGACGGAGUCAACGAGCGUUUUUCCUUGCCCGAUAGGGUUGGGUAACCUCCUGAAACUCCGUCGUGAUGGGGAUAGAUCAUUGCAAUUAUUGAUCUUGAACGAGGAAUUCCUAGUAGGCGCGAGUCAUCAACUCGCGCCGAUUACGUCCCUGCCCUUUGUACACACCGCCCGUCGCUCCUACCGAUUGAACGGUCCGGCGAGAACUCCGGAUGGUC